This 539-nucleotide ribosomal RNA is filed under the name Micrococcus sp. RNAcentral's name for it is "bacterial SSU rRNA". It matches the Rfam family "Bacterial small subunit ribosomal RNA", at positions 465 to 1002 of the family's 1533-position model. Lineage: Bacteria; Bacillati; Actinomycetota; Actinomycetes; Micrococcales; Micrococcaceae. The record is from RNAcentral.
GAAAGUGACGGUACCUGCAGAAGAAGCACCGGCUAACUACGUGCCAGCAGCCGCGGUAAUACGUAGGGUGCGAGCGUAUCCGGAAUUAUUGGGCGUAAAGAGCUCGUAGGCGGUUUGUCGCGUCUGUCGUGAAAGUCCGGGGCUUAACCCCGGAUCUGCGGUGGGUACGGGCAGACUAGAGUGCAGUAGGGGAGACUGGAAUUCCUGGUGUAGCGGUGGAAUGCGCAGAUAUCAGGAGGAACACCGAUGGCGAAGGCAGGUCUCUGGGCUGUAACUGACGCUGAGGAGCGAAAGCAUGGGGAGCGAACAGGAUUAGAUACCCUGGUAGUCCAUGCCGUAAACGUUGGGCACUAGGUGUGGGGACCAUUCCACGGUUUCCGCGCCGCAGCUAACGCAUUAAGUGCCCCGCCUGGGGAGUACGGCCGCAAGGCUAAAACUCAAAGGAAUUGACGGGGGCCCGCACAAGCGGCGGAGCAUGCGGAUUAAUUCGAUGCAACGCGAAGAACCUUACCAAGGCUUGACAUGUUCUCGAUCGCCGU